RNAcentral lists this long non-coding RNA (369 nucleotides) under Homo sapiens (human). Its description in RNAcentral is "HSALNT0294039". Lineage: Eukaryota; Metazoa; Chordata; Mammalia; Primates; Hominidae. The record is from RNAcentral.
UGACAUUAUCUCCAUGGCUGAGGUCUUCUGGAGCAGUAGUUCUAGAACUUCUUGGGGCCACUCCAAUAUAACAACACUCAGGAAUCACCUCCCACUACUGCUGGGGCAGGCGGUGGGAACAGAUGUAGAGAGGGCACACAAUGAGCCUCACGUAAGCAUCAGGUACUACAUUUAGGAAGAGAGAUGGUGUGAGGAUGCAGUGGCCAGAAGAGGCAGCCCAGGGAAGAUCUGAGGUGAACCCUCUGGUUGGAAAGCCUUGGCAAAUUGGAGGAAUGAAAAGAAAAAAGAGUAAAUCUACAACAAGGAUCAGCAAACUCCAGUCUACAGGCCAAAUCCAGCCUGCUGCCUGUUUAUGUCAAUAAAGUUUUA